CGGUAAUUCCAGCUCCCUGAGUGGUAGGGAUGAUUAUUUGGCCUAAAGCGUUCGUAGCCGGCUUAGCAAGUUUUCCGUUAAAUCCAGCGACUUAAUCGUUGGUCUGCGGAAGAUACUACUAGGCUAGAGGACGGGAGAGGUUGACGGUAUUCCCAGUGUAGGGGUGAAAUCCAAUAAUCCUGGGAGGACCACCAGUGGCGAAGGCGGUCAACGAGAACGUGCCUGACGGUGAUGGACGAAAGCUGGGGGAGCGAACCGGAUUAGACACCCGGGUAGUCCCAGCCGUAAACGAUGCGGGCUAGGUGUUAGGGCAGCUACGAGCUGCUCUAGUGCCGCAGAGAAGUCGUUAAGCCCGCCGCCUGGGGAGUACGAUCGCAAGAUUGAAACUUAAAGGAAUUGGCGGGGGAGCACCACAAGGGGUGAAGCCUGCGGUUCAAUUGGAGUCAACGCCGGGAAACUUACCAGGGCUGACAGCAGGGUGAAGGCCAGACUAAAGCUCUUGCCAGACAAGCUGAGAGGAGGUGCAUGGCCGUCGCCAGUUCGUGCCGUGAGGUGUCCUGUUAAGUCAGGCAACGAACGAGACCCCCAUCAUUAGUUACCAGCGGGUUCCUGAGGAAUGCCGGGCACACUAAUGGAACUACCGUCGAUAAGACGGAGGAAGGAGGGGGCUACGGCAGGUCAGUAUGCCCCGAAUGCCCUGGGCCACACGCGGGCUGCAAUGGUAGGUACAGAGGGUCCCAACCCUUAAAGGGGAAGGUAAUCCCUAAACCCUAUCUCAGUCGGGAUUGAGGGCUGAAACUCGCCCUCAUGAACAUGGAAUCCCUAGUAACCGCAUGUCAUCAUCGUGCGGUGAAUACGUCCCCGCUCCUUGCACACACCGCCCGUCGCUCCAUCCAAAUCGGGUCUAGAUGAGGCGUGGUCAAAUUUGGCCGUGUCGAAUCUGGGUUCGGUGAGGGGGGAGAAGUCGUAACAAGGUAACC
RNAcentral lists this ribosomal RNA (980 nucleotides) under uncultured crenarchaeote. RNAcentral describes it as "bacterial SSU rRNA". It matches the Rfam family "Archaeal small subunit ribosomal RNA", at positions 468 to 1448 of the family's 1478-position model. The record is from RNAcentral. Lineage: Archaea; Thermoproteati; Thermoproteota.